Molecule: ribosomal RNA, 465 nt
Filed under: uncultured bacterium
Lineage: Bacteria
Description: partial 16S ribosomal RNA
Rfam family: Bacterial small subunit ribosomal RNA
Source: RNAcentral
GAUGAACGCUGGCGGCGUGCUUAACACAUGCAAGUCGAACGGAAAGGCUCCUGCUUGCAGGGGUACUCGAGUGGCGAACGGGUGAGUAACACGUGGGUGAUCUGCCCUGCACUUCGGGAUAAGCCUGGGAAACUGGGUCUAAUACCGGAUAGGACCACAUUUUGGAUGGUGUGGUGGAAAGUUUUUCGGUGUGGGAUGAGCUCGCGGCCUAUCAGCUUGUUGGUGGGGUAAUGGCCUACCGAGGCGUCGACGGGUAGCCGGCCUGAGAGGGUGUACGGCCACAUUGGGACUGAGAUACGGCCCAGACUCCUACGGGAGGCAGCAGGGGGGAAUAUUGCACAAUGGGCGCAAGCCUGAUGCAGCGACGCCGCGUGGGGGAUGACGGCCUUCGGGUUGUAAACUCCUUUCGCUAGGGACGAAGCGCAAGUGACGGUACCUGGAGAAGAAGCACCGGCUAACUACGUG